This 507-nucleotide ribosomal RNA is filed under the name uncultured bacterium. RNAcentral's name for it is "bacterial SSU rRNA". It matches the Rfam family "Bacterial small subunit ribosomal RNA", at positions 28 to 545 of the family's 1533-position model. The record is from RNAcentral.
GACGAACGCUGGCGGCGUGCUUAACACAUGCAAGUCGAGGGCACCCAGCAAUGGGUGACCGGCGAACGGGUGCGUAACACGUGAGCAACCUACCGAUUUCUGGGGGAUAGCCGGCCCAACGGCCGGGUAAUACCGCAUACGCUCACUACAGGGAGUCCUGUGGUGAGGAAACCUCCGGGGGAAAUCGCGGGGCUCGCGGCCUAUCAGCUAGUUGGUGCGGUAACGGCGCACCAAGGCGAUGACGGGUAGCUGGUCUGAGAGGAUGGCCAGCCACAUUGGGACUGAGAGACGGCCCAGACUCCUACGGGAGGCAGCAGUGGGGAAUCUUGCGCAAUGGACGAAAGUCUGACGCAGUGACGCCGCGUGCGGGAGGAAGCUCUUCGGGGUGUAAACCGCUGUUGCCCGGGACGAAUGCCCUUUUUGAAGGGGUUGACGGUACCGGGUGAGGAAGCGCCGGCUAACUCUGUGCCAGCAGCCGCGGUAAUACAGAGGGCGCGAGCGUGUCGG